AGUGAACGCUGGCGGUAGGCCGAACACAUGCAAGUCGAACGGCAGCACAGUAAGAGCUUGCUCUUACGGGUGGCGAGUGGCGGACGGGUGAGGAAUACAUCGGAAUCUACUUUUUCGUGGGGGAUAACGUAGGGAAACGUACGCUAAUACCGCAUACGACCUACGGGUGAAAGCAGGGGAUCUUCGUACCUCGCGCGAUUGAAUGAGCCGAUGUCGGAGUAGCUAGUUGGCGGGGUAAAGGCGCACUAAGGCGACGAUCCUUAGCUGGUCUGAGAGGAAGAUGCGCCACACUGGAACUGCGGCGCGCUCCAGCCUCCUCCGGGAGGCAGGAGUGGGGAAUGUUGGACGUUGGGCGCACGCCUGAUCCAGCCUUACCGCGUGGCUGAGGAGGUCCUUCUCGUUCUAGACCCAUUCUGUUCGGAAGGAGAAGCUGCUGGGUAUACAGGUGCUGUUAUGACGGUACCCAGCAAAUAAGCACCGGCUAACUUCGUG
This 492-nucleotide ribosomal RNA is filed under the name uncultured bacterium. Its description in RNAcentral is "partial 16S ribosomal RNA". It matches the Rfam family "Bacterial small subunit ribosomal RNA", at positions 29 to 507 of the family's 1533-position model. The record is from RNAcentral.